AACAGUUUAGCCCGAAAUCGUUAUUUCCGCUUUUGAGAUAUAGGAAAAAGUAAAAAAAAAAUCGGAAUAAAAGAACUUUCGCCCAUAAACGGUGAUAUUUAGGGAAAUCAUAUUUGAAAGACUAAAUAGUAUUACGAAAUACCUUUCUAACAACAUAUAUCGACAAUAUCGAUUUAUCGUCGCUUGUGAACAGCUGUGUUUACUUUUGUGCUCCGAGUUUUUGUCUUUUCCAGUGAUUUUUGUGCGAGUGUUCUGUGUGUAUUUAUUUACAAAGAUUAUUCUAACAAUUGUGCUAGUAAUUCUAAAUAGAUCUCCCAGUAACGGGUAACUUUAACCUACCUGAUAUUUCUUGGUCUCCUCCUACUGACUCAUUUGUCGCUAUGCCGUUAUCCGCGCAUGAUUUUGUGGAUGGCCUUUUAGAAUUAUCGUUACAGCAAACCCAUCUGAAAUCACGCUCUUGUUGUACCUGAAGACCUAUAUCAUCCUACUAUGGAACUGACAAUUUGCCUCCCCUGCUCUGAUACCCUCUAUCCUUUAGUUUCUCCAAUUUAAAUGAGAUGUUUUCGUAAAUGUAACUAUAAUAAACUUAACGAUAUGAUUUCUCAUUAUAUUUUUUCGAAAUAUGUUGUGGCUCGAACAGAUUUUAAUGUUCUCAACAGUCAUUGCUACUCUCUGUAUCUAA
This is a long non-coding RNA of Drosophila biarmipes, 682 nucleotides long. RefSeq lists it as uncharacterized. NCBI's taxonomy places the organism in Eukaryota, Metazoa, Arthropoda, Insecta, Diptera, Drosophilidae. The record is from RefSeq and is a predicted model, not a curated record. The transcript has 3 exons.